This 433-nucleotide ribosomal RNA is filed under the name uncultured bacterium. Its description in RNAcentral is "partial 16S ribosomal RNA". It matches the Rfam family "Bacterial small subunit ribosomal RNA", at positions 29 to 507 of the family's 1533-position model. The record is from RNAcentral.
AACGAACGCUGGCGGCAUGCCUAACACAUGCGAGUCGAACGAGACCUUCGGGUCUAGUGGCGCACGGGUGCGUAACGCGUGGGAACCUGCCCUUAGGUUCGGAAUAACUCCCCGAAAGGGGUGCUAAUACCGGAUAAUGUCUUCGGACCAAAGAUUUAUCGCCUUUGGAUGGGCCCGCGUUGGAUUAGCUAGUUGGUAGGGUAAAAGCCUACCAAGGCGACGAUCCAUAGCUGGUCUGAGAGGAUGAUCAGCCACACUGGGACUGAGACACGGCCCAGACUCCUACGGGAGGCAGCAGUGGGGAAUAUUGGACAAUGGGCGAAAGCCUGAUCCAGCAAUGCCGCGUGAGUGAUGAAGGCCUUAGGGUUGUAAAGCUCUUUUACCCGGGAUGAUAAUGACAGUACCGGGACAAUAAGCUCCGGCUAACUCCGUG